This 492-nucleotide ribosomal RNA is filed under the name uncultured bacterium. RNAcentral describes it as "partial 16S ribosomal RNA". It matches the Rfam family "Bacterial small subunit ribosomal RNA", at positions 29 to 507 of the family's 1533-position model. The record is from RNAcentral.
AGUGAACGCUGGCGGUAGGCCUAACACAUGCAAGUCGAACGGCAGCACAGUAAGAGCUUGCUCUUACGGGUGGCGAGUGGCGGACGGGUGAGGAAUACAUCGGAAUCUACUUUUUCGUGGGGGAUAACGUAGGGAAACUUACGCUAAUACCGCAUACGACCUACGGGUGAAAGCAGGGGAUCUUCGGACCUUGCGCGAUUGAAUGAGCCGAUGUCGGAUUAGCUAGUUGGCGGGGUAAAGGCCCACCAAGGCGACGAUCCGUAGCUGGUCUGAGAGGAUGAUCAGCCAAACUGGAACUGAGACACGGUCCAGACUCCUACGGGAGGCAGCAGUGGGGAAUAUUGGACAAAGGGAGCAAGCCUGAUCCAGCCAUACCGCGUGGGUGAAGAAGGCCUUCGGGUUGUAAAGACCUUUUGUUGGGAAAGAAAAGCAGCAGGUUAAUAACCCGCUGUUCUGACGGUACCCAAAGAAUAAGCACCGGCUAACUUCGUG